UUUAUUUUAAUUCUUUCUAAGGGCUUCAUUAAAAAGUUUGGCUGUAAAUGUCUGGGCUUGAUGUCGAGCAAAAACUAUUUAAAAUUAAUAUUCUGCUUUAAACCCACCGUAGAAGUUUCCAAUCGCGCAAUGGUUAUCAUUGUUUUAAAAUAACCUUCUACUACAGUUACGAUGUCAAAAACGAUAUUGUCUUUCAUCUGUUAAAACAAUGUUCAAUUGUUUACAAGGCGCGUAAAACCGACGACGUUUCAACAAAUUUGAAAUACCGGAUGACACAUACUAAUAUUAUAAGCAGCAGCUAUACAAGGGCCGAAACG
Non-coding RNA from Cinara cedri, 317 nucleotides. The record is from the annotation of a GenBank genome assembly. Lineage: Eukaryota; Metazoa; Arthropoda; Insecta; Hemiptera; Aphididae.